GAGAGGUAACGGCUCACCAAGGCAUCGACGGGUAGCUGGUCUGAGAGGAUGAUCAGCCACACUGGAACUGAGACACGGUCCAGACUCCUACGGGAGGCAGCAGUGGGGAAUCUUGCACAAUGGGCGAAAGCCUGAUGCAGCGAUGCCGCGUGCGGGAAGAAGGCCCUAGGGUUGUAAACCGCUUUCAGGAGGGAAGAAAAUGACGGUACCUCCAGAAGAAGGUGCGGCCAACUACGUGCCAGCAGCCGCGGUGACACGUAGGCACCAAGCGUUAUCCGGAUUUAUUGGGCGUAAAGAGCUCGUAGGCGGUUUGGUAAGUCGGGUGUGAAAACUCUGGGCUCAACCCAGAGAGGCCACUCGAUACUGCUAUGACUAGGGUACGGUAGGGGAGCGGGGAAUUCCUGGUGUAGCGGUGAAAUGCGCAGAUAUCAGGAGGAACACCAGCGGCGAAGGCGCCGCUCUGGGCCGUAACUGACGCUGAGGAGCGAAAGCAUGGGUAGCAAACAGGAUUAGAUACCCUGGUAGUCCAUGCCGUAAACGUUGGGCACUAGGUGUGGGUCUCAACCAACGAGAUCCGCGCCGUCGCUAACGCAUUAAGUG
This 600-nucleotide ribosomal RNA is filed under the name uncultured Actinomycetes bacterium. Its description in RNAcentral is "bacterial SSU rRNA". It matches the Rfam family "Bacterial small subunit ribosomal RNA", at positions 252 to 866 of the family's 1533-position model. The record is from RNAcentral. Lineage: Bacteria; Bacillati; Actinomycetota; Actinomycetes.